RNAcentral lists this ribosomal RNA (253 nucleotides) under uncultured bacterium. Its description in RNAcentral is "partial 16S ribosomal RNA". It matches the Rfam family "Bacterial small subunit ribosomal RNA", at positions 524 to 776 of the family's 1533-position model. The record is from RNAcentral.
UACGGAGGGGGCUAGCGUUGCUCGGAAUUACUGGGCGUAAAGGGCGCGUAGGCGGCACUGUUAGUCAGGCGUGAAAGUCCUGGGCUCAACCUGGGAACUGCGCUUGAUACGGCAGAGCUAGAGGAUGGAAGAGGGUCGCGGAAUUCCCAGUGUAGAGGUGAAAUUCGUAGAUAUUGGGAAGAACACCGGUGGCGAAGGCGGCGACCUGGUCCAUUACUGACGCUGAGGCGCGACAGCGUGGGGAGCAAACAGG